Molecule: ribosomal RNA, 702 nt
Filed under: uncultured Sphingomonas sp.
Lineage: Bacteria; Pseudomonadati; Pseudomonadota; Alphaproteobacteria; Sphingomonadales; Sphingomonadaceae
Description: bacterial SSU rRNA
Rfam family: Bacterial small subunit ribosomal RNA
Source: RNAcentral
AAUGAGCGCUGGCGGCAUGCCUAACACAUGCAAGUCGAACGAAGCCUUCGGGUUUAGUGGCGCACGGGUGCGUAACGCGUGGGAAUCUGCCCCUUGGUUCGGAAUAACAGUUGGAAACGACUGCUAAUACCGGAUGAUGACGUAAGUCCAAAGAUUUAUCGCCGAGGGAUGAGCCCGCGUAGGAUUAGGUAGUUGGUGUGGUAAAGGCGCACCAAGCCGACGAUCCUUAGCUGGUCUGAGAGGAUGAUCAGCCACACUGGGACUGAGACACGGCCCAGACUCCUACGGGAGGCAGCAGUGGGGAAUAUUGGACAAUGGGCGAAAGCCUGAUCCAGCAAUGCCGCGUGAGUGAUGAAGGCCUUAGGGUUGUAAAGCUCUUUUACCCGGGAUGAUAAUGACAGUACCGGGAGAAUAAGCUCCGGCUAACUCCGUGCCAGCAGCCGCGGUAAUACGGAGGGAGCUAGCGUUAUUCGGAAUUACUGGGCGUAAAGCGCACGUAGGCGGCUUUGUAAGUAAGAGGUGAAAGCCCAGAGCUCAACUCUGGAAUUGCCUUUUAGACUGCAUCGCUUGAAUCAUGGAGAGGUCAGUGGAAUUCCGAGUGUAGAGGUGAAAUUCGUAGAUAUUCGGAAGAACACCAGUGGCGAAGGCGGCUGACUGGACAUGUAUUGACGCUGAGGUGCGAAAGCGUGGGGAGCAAACAGG